AUGCCAUCGGGCUGCCCCCAGAACUGGUACGGCUCCAGACCGAGCGCGGACACGGCCAGCUCGUCGUGCGAGCCAAUGCCCGCGUGCUCCCCCAGCCACGCUGGCUCGUACCACGGCUCGGCGACGGGGUCUUCGCAGAACGUGCCCCCGAACGCGACCUCUACGGCGGCCGCGAUGUCCUCGUCGAUGGAUGGCAGCUCGAUGAUUUCCUCAAGCUCGUCGUCGACCUGGCUCGACAUCUGUCCGCGGCGCCACAGUGGGGACGUCGCAGCCGCCGGCAUUGGCUCCGUGCUCACGCCCGCGCUCACAGGGGCAGGGUCCAUGGCCGCGGCGCGGGCUGCCGCGGCCUGCACGUCGUGGGGCGCAGCGGAGGCCGGGCGUGGCAGCGACGAGGCCAGCUCCGGGAAGUUGAGCACGGCUGCAGGGCCCUUCACGACGAGCGCGGCCGCGUCGUGCGCGCGCGCCGCCAUCUCUGGCGUCGGGAAGGUGCCCAGCCAGAUGCGCGACUUCUUGCGCGGCUCCCUGAUCUCGGACACCCACUUCCCCCAUGCCCUCAUCCGAACGCCGCGGUACGCCGGGUGCCGGUCGCCCGCGCCAUUGCCUCCGGCAUCCCUCCCUCUCUUCUCCAGAACUCCGCCUCUCGCCGUGGUUGGCGAUGGCGGCGGCGAGGCGGACGACGACGCCGGGCUGUUCAGCUCAGAGUCAGGCAUUUCCAAUGCAAGUGCGCGCUCCCGACGAAGGCUGUUUGAAGCUAGCGGGGAAGCUCAGGGCGGGUUUUGUAGCGGCUGUUGGGAGCGCCAUGAUGCUGACAUCUCACCAGCGGACGUCCUUGUCGCGGCCGUCCAGUCAGCAACGCUCCCCCCUCUCUCUAUGUCUCCAGAUCUCUCUGUUCAUUUUUCUAGAUUGAUCUACCUCUCGAGUCUCGACCUUUGUCUGAGUUGUGCCCUCUUAACGGAUAAAUUUUUGAAGAGACCGUUGCAAAGCAGGAUAAAAUUGCUUACGAACAUCAAGCUAGUGAUGUGUACGUGCUGUGCAAUUUAA
This 1041-nucleotide ribosomal RNA is filed under the name Triticum aestivum (bread wheat). RNAcentral's name for it is "partial small subunit ribosomal RNA". Lineage: Eukaryota; Viridiplantae; Streptophyta; Magnoliopsida; Poales; Poaceae. The record is from RNAcentral.